Molecule: ribosomal RNA, 758 nt
Filed under: uncultured bacterium
Lineage: Bacteria
Description: bacterial SSU rRNA
Rfam family: Bacterial small subunit ribosomal RNA
Source: RNAcentral
ACGCUGGCGGCGUGCCUAAUACAUGCAAGUCGAACGCACAGCGAAAGGUGCUUGCACCUUUCAAGUGAGUGGCGAACGGGUGAGUAACACGUGGACAACCUGCCUCAAGGCUGGGGAUAACAUUUGGAAACAGAUGCUAAUACCGAAUAAAACUUAGUGUCGCAUGACACAAAGUUAAAAGGCGCUUCGGCGUCACCUAGAGAUGGAUCCGCGGUGCAUUAGUUAGUUGGUGGGGUAAAGGCCUACCAAGACAAUGAUGCAUAGCCGAGUUGAGAGACUGAUCGGCCACAUUGGGACUGAGACACGGCCCAAACUCCUACGGGAGGCUGCAGUAGGGAAUCUUCCACAAUGGGCGAAAGCCUGAUGGAGCAACGCCGCGUGUGUGAUGAAGGCUUUCGGGUCGUAAAGCACUGUUGUAUGGGAAGAACAGCUAGAAUAGGAAAUGAUUUUAGUUUGACGGUACCAUACCAGAAAGGGACGGCUAAAUACGUGCCAGCAGCCGCGGUAAUACGUAUGUCCCGAGCGUUAUCCGGAUUUAUUGGGCGUAAAGCGAGCGCAGACGGUUUAUUAAGUCUGAUGUGAAAGCCCGGAGCUCAACUCCGGAAUGGCAUUGGAAACUGGUUAACUUAAGUGCAGUAGAGGUAAGUGGAACUCCAUGUGUAGCGGUGAAAUGCGUAGAUAUAUGGAAGAACACCAGUGGCGUAGGCGGCUUACUGGACUGCAACUGACGUUGAGGCUCGAAAGUGUGGGUAGCAAAC